Molecule: ribosomal RNA, 457 nt
Filed under: uncultured beta proteobacterium
Lineage: Bacteria; Pseudomonadati; Pseudomonadota; Betaproteobacteria
Description: bacterial SSU rRNA
Rfam family: Bacterial small subunit ribosomal RNA
Source: RNAcentral
CGGGGGGCAGCAGUGGGGAAUUUUGGACAAUGGGCGCAAGCCUGAUCCAGCCAUGCCGCGUGAGUGAAGAAGGCCUUCGGGUUGUAAAGCUCUUUCGGCAGGAACGAAAUGGUUCGUGCCAAUACCACGGACUGAUGACGGUACCUGAAGAAGAAGCACCGGCUAACUACGUGCCAGCAGCCGCGGUAAUACGUAGGGUGCAGGCGUUAAUCGGAAUUACUGGGCGUAAAGCGUGCGCAGGCGGUUUCUUAAGUCAGAUGUGAAAGCCCCGGGCUUAACCUGGGAACUGCGUUUGAAACUGGGAGACUUGAGUGUGGCAGAGGGGGGCGGAAUUCCACGUGUAGCAGUGAAAUGCGUAGAUAUGUGGAGGAACACCGAUGGCGAAGGCAGCCCCCUGGGUUAACACUGACGCUCAUGCACGAAAGCGUGGGGAGCAAACAGGAUUAGAUACCCGAGU